AUGAACACCGAAUUCUAUUCAGUGUAUGACGUGCCGAUCGACCAGCUGCUCGGAGUACCACCUGACGAGAGUGACCUCCACGGAUGUUGGGAAGGCUUUGGAGCCAAGGGAGGCCAACUUGCAGCUCCCUAUUUUCCUUCUACUCACGAUGAGACGCCAGAUGCCACAUCGCCAGAGACGGAGUGGGCCGAUCAUACAGUGGAUGGCUUUGAAGCCAAUGGAGGCCAACUUGCAGCUCCCCACUGUCCUUCUACCCACGAUGAGGCGCCAGACGCCACGCCACCGGAGACGGAGUGCGCCACUCAUACAGCAGAUGGACCAGAGAGCGGCUGGAGGCGCAAGAGAGGCCCUCGCAAGAGAAGGGUGCUGUUGUGCACAGAUCAAUCUUGGCAUCUGGGUAACCAUUUUGGGCAAACAUCACAUAGAACCAACAAUAGCCACUGGACACCUGAAGAGGUAGCUACGCUGGUGGAUGGCGUCGAAGAUUGCGGGGUUGCACGGUGGUCUGCGAUGAAGAAGAAAUGGUUUCCAACGUCGGUCCGAACUGCGAGCAAUCUCAAGGAUAAGUGGAGAAAUCUCCUGGAAUCAUACACGGGAAAUGCCGAAAGAAGCUGCUAUCUGCAUCUUGACAAGAAGCUGAUCGAACGAAUCAAAAAGGCAGCACUCAACAACCCGUAUCCGAAACCAAGGUGCACUGAUGAAUGA
Molecule: ribosomal RNA, 705 nt
Filed under: Triticum aestivum (bread wheat)
Lineage: Eukaryota; Viridiplantae; Streptophyta; Magnoliopsida; Poales; Poaceae
Description: partial small subunit ribosomal RNA
Source: RNAcentral